CUAACAGCCCAAGUCUCUUUAUUCCUAGAACAGGACCAAUACAAUAAGCAAAAGUGCAAGCUUCGUCCACACAUUCUCCUGCCAAUGUAUCUCAACCCUGUUCUGAAAGGACCAUGUCUAGGAGUGAGAGGAUCCAGGGCCCAUUCAGUCCUUGGAUAUU
Molecule: small RNA, 160 nt
Filed under: Chrysemys picta bellii (western painted turtle)
Lineage: Eukaryota; Metazoa; Chordata; Testudines; Emydidae
Description: TUC338 (ENSCPBG00000012446.1)
Source: RNAcentral